RNAcentral lists this ribosomal RNA (253 nucleotides) under uncultured bacterium. Its description in RNAcentral is "partial 16S ribosomal RNA". It matches the Rfam family "Bacterial small subunit ribosomal RNA", at positions 524 to 776 of the family's 1533-position model. The record is from RNAcentral.
UACGAAGGGGGCUAGCGUUGCUCGGAAUCACUGGGCGUAAAGCGCACGUAGGCGGAUUGCUAAGUCAGGGGUGAAAUCCUGGAGCUCAACUCCAGAACUGCCUUUGAUACUGGCGAUCUCGAGUCCGGGAGAGGUGAGUGGAACUGCGAGUGUAGAGGUGAAAUUCGUAGAUAUUCGGAAGAACACCAGUGGCGAAGGCGACUUACUGGACACGUAUUGACGCUGAGGUGCGAAAGCGUGGGGAGCAAACAGG